UUGACCAAAAAGAAAUCAAUUGAACUAUUGUAAAAUUCUAGUUUCCAAACAGGGGCAUGUUCAUUAGCUUCUUUAUACUGUAAGGCUUCCUUUAGAAUAAAUCAUUUGCAAUAAAAAAAUUCAAUUGAAUUCUUAUCCAAUCAUACUUGAUUUUUAUUUUUUAAAAAUGAUUUUUUUAAAAUUAAGAGAAAUAAAUUUCAUUCCAAAUAUGAGAAUUAAUAAAAAAAAAUCAAUUUCUUGUAAAAUUUUAGAUUCCAAACUAUUGUUAUUAAUUUAUUAAAGGCGUGUCUUGCGCUUAGGCUCUAGAACCCCUUAGCGCUUGCGCCUUUAAUAACUAUGUUCUAAACAGGGGAUAACUGAUUUGACUGACGAAAUAUCCUAGUCUAGUGAAAUGGUCUGCAUAGAUUUUGGCACAGUUGAAAUGUAACCAUCUAGUAAUUCAAUUGCAUCUGGACUGCAGUUAUUACAGUUAUUGUUAUCAAUUUACCAUCAUUAUUGCUAUCUGCUUGUUGUGCAUAGUAGUGAGAUGUAACUAGUAGUUUAUUCAGUAAUAUAUUGAUAGACGGUAUUUGAUAGACUGUGUUAUAUAUAUAUAUAUAAUCUUUUAUCUUGUUUAUAUUCCAUUGAGCUGCAAUAGACAAGUAAUUCCGUAAUAGCUGUAUUGCAGGGUAAUGAAAUACAUUAGGGGAAUUGCAAUACGGUAUAGGAACGGUAGUUGGAGUCUUAUUUUCUACUCCAAUUGCUAUUCUUAUAUUGAAUUUUCCGUUGUUUUUAUACAAGGAUAUAUUUUCCCCGUAAUUACAUUUCACCUUUCUUUCAUGUUUCCCAAAUGGUUAUCAGUUCACUAUGGAGAUGGGUGGCAUUGGUUCUGGGAAUGUACCUAG
RNAcentral lists this unclassified non-coding RNA (884 nucleotides) under Hevea brasiliensis (rubber tree). The record is from RNAcentral. Lineage: Eukaryota; Viridiplantae; Streptophyta; Magnoliopsida; Malpighiales; Euphorbiaceae.